This 133-nucleotide ribosomal RNA is filed under the name uncultured bacterium. RNAcentral's name for it is "partial 16S ribosomal RNA". It matches the Rfam family "Bacterial small subunit ribosomal RNA", at positions 356 to 480 of the family's 1533-position model. The record is from RNAcentral.
GGGGAAUUUUGCGCAAUGGGCGGAAGCCUGACGCAGCAAUACCGCGUGAGUGAUGAAGGCUCUCGGGUCGUAAAGCUCUGUCAGAGGGGAAGAACCUCCUGUCGCCUAAUACGCGGCAGGCCUGACGGUACCC